UACGUAGGUCCCGAGCGUUGUCCGGAUUUAUUGGGCGUAAAGCGAGCGCAGGUGGUUUAUUAAGUCUGGUGUAAAAGGCAGUGGCUCAACCAUUGUAUGCAUUGGAAACUGGUAGACUUGAGUGCAGGAGAGGAGAGUGGAAUGCCAUGUGUAGCGGUGAAAUGCGUAGAUAUAUGGAGGAACACCGGUGGCGAAAGCGGCUCUCUGGCCUGUAACUGACACUGAGGCUCGAAAGCGUGGGGAGCAAACAGG
This 252-nucleotide ribosomal RNA is filed under the name uncultured bacterium. RNAcentral's name for it is "partial 16S ribosomal RNA". It matches the Rfam family "Bacterial small subunit ribosomal RNA", at positions 524 to 776 of the family's 1533-position model. The record is from RNAcentral.